UUUAAAUUGAGAGUUUGAUCCUGGCUCAGGAUGAACGCUGGCGGCGUGCUUAACACAUGCAAGUCGAGCGAUGAAGUUUCCUUCGGGAAACGGAUUAGCGGCGGACGGGUGAGUAACACGUGGGUAACCUGCCUCAUAGAGUGGAAUAGCCUUCCGAAAGGAAGAUUAAUACCGCAUAACGUUGAAAGAUGGCAUCAUCAUUCAACCAAAGGAG
RNAcentral lists this ribosomal RNA (214 nucleotides) under Clostridium perfringens. Its description in RNAcentral is "partial 16S ribosomal RNA". It matches the Rfam family "Bacterial small subunit ribosomal RNA", at positions 1 to 209 of the family's 1533-position model. Lineage: Bacteria; Bacillati; Bacillota; Clostridia; Eubacteriales; Clostridiaceae. The record is from RNAcentral.